Electrophorus electricus (electric eel) is the source of this 1595-nucleotide long non-coding RNA. RefSeq lists it as uncharacterized. NCBI's taxonomy places the organism in Eukaryota, Metazoa, Chordata, Actinopteri, Gymnotiformes, Gymnotidae. The record is from RefSeq and is a predicted model, not a curated record.
CAGGCGCGAAGGAUGGGUGAUGCGCGAGCACCGUCUGGACAAGCACACUACUGAUCUCAGAUCAGCACGGGACGCGCACUGACAGGACCAGGUCCAAGCACGGCACCGCAAAUGCAUUUCAGUCUAAUUAAAAUAACGUGAGACUCUGAAACAGCUGCUAUGUCCGGUGCUGCGGCUGUGUGUGGGCGUACCUAUCCUUGGCCACGCCCCCUCACCACCGCGGCUGGCUGCGGCUCUCGGAGGAGGGCUGUGCUCUCCGGCGCCGCCUGGCUGCCAACACCAACGUUUGCCAGCCGAGGGAGGCGUCCAAUCAGAGAGAUGCAACGCUUCAUCACACUGCACAGGGACCGUGCUACUCUGAUUUUGCUCUACAGCUCCUCACAUAUCACGUACACCCAGAGACUGAGAGAACACAGGACUGACGUUGUGUUGGGAUGUGAAGUGAUGGCCUACUCUCUGCCUGAUGCUGGCUGAAAGAAGGGAGUGACACACGUCUCUGUACAGCGGUGAUAGCACACAUGACGAGUAUUUCUAUGGAACCCGUGAAGAUCUGGACUCAGGGGACUAUGUGGGUUAAAUCAUCCUGAGAUCAUAACGUUACUGCAUUACAUGGGAAAGACCAUGUUGAACGUCGGAGAUGGUGCAUCCUUUUAACACAUGCACUACCAUGAAUUCGACUUCUCUCAUCAAAAAAAAGUUAACUACAAAAUAAGACAAAAACUUAAAAAUGAACCCAUACUACACGUGUUAAAUAAAAUAUUUAUUAUCAUUAAUGUUUUUCUAUUUUACUGUGGCACACAACUGAGCAUUUAAAAUCUGAAUAAAAUCUUUGGCACUUGGACAAUGUUUUGAUAUUUUUAUUAAAGUGUUUCUGUUGUUUGGAUGCUGAUUAGUGGCACACAAAGCAGAAGGUGGGAGUGGCUUCUGGAUCUCACACACGAGCAACAGACAGACACUUCUGAGCUGUGUUUUCCUUCACAAUUUCUCUUACCUCCCCUUCUUAAACACUGCUCCCAUCACAAGACUUAAAUUUCAAACACACACACACACACACACACACACACACACCAGGAUCAUCUGCGUCCAGUGGAACAGAGCUUAGCACCACCCAGCCAGUCAGCUGGGUGACUCCAAGCUAUAGCCUUGGAGGACCUUGUUCAGAUUCCACAGAGACAUGACCAGGCACGACACACCUGUAUUUCACGCAUGAAGAACACAACCGAUCAGACAGGUCCAUCUCAGUUGUACACCGAGCGCCCGGUGACUUGUUGUGACUUGAGUUGCAACUCACACCCCUGCCGUUUAAAAGGGCAAACUUGCAUCAGACAAUGGAUGUUUUCAAACCGUCUGAUUCUCCGUGUGCGUCUGACACUGGGUCUGAGAUGAGUCUUAGAACAACAAGUUACCCUUGGCUACGUUGCACUCUGGCCAGCAGGGGGUAUCGUUCCGCAACAUCACGCGGCGGCCAGCCAGGUCUGUCUACAGUGGCAGGUAACCCCAAAGCCACGGCUGGUUCUCCUAGUCGGAUGCGCUUUAGACGCUGAUCCAGAUGCCCUCCCCCUGGCCUUAGGCCGAAUCUUAGCAAGACAAUAGAA